UACGUAAGGGGCGAGCGUUGUUCGGAUUAACUGGGUGUAAAGGGUCCGCAGGUGGCUUGGUCAGUCAAGAGUGAAAUCCCGUGGCUCAACCGCGGAACGGCUCUUGAUACUGCCGAGCUUGAGUAUGGGAGAGGUAAGCAGAAUUCCCGGUGUAGCGGUGAAAUGCGUAGAUAUCGGGAGGAAUACCAGUGGCGAAGGCGGCUUACUGGCCCAUCACUGACACUCAUGGACGAAGGUGCGGGUAGCAAACAGG
RNAcentral lists this ribosomal RNA (253 nucleotides) under uncultured bacterium. RNAcentral's name for it is "partial 16S ribosomal RNA". It matches the Rfam family "Bacterial small subunit ribosomal RNA", at positions 524 to 776 of the family's 1533-position model. The record is from RNAcentral.